This 534-nucleotide ribosomal RNA is filed under the name uncultured bacterium. RNAcentral's name for it is "bacterial SSU rRNA". It matches the Rfam family "Bacterial small subunit ribosomal RNA", at positions 45 to 602 of the family's 1533-position model. The record is from RNAcentral.
GGGGCUAAACAUGCAGUCGAACGCCGUAGCAUACGGAGUGGCAGACGGGUGAGUAACACGUGGGAACGUGCCCUUUGGUUCGGAACAACACAGGGAAACUUGUGCUAAUACCGAAUAAGCCCUUACGGGGAAAGAUUUAUCGCCAAAGGAUCGGCCGCGUCUGAUUAGCUAGUUGGUGAGGUAACGGUCACCAAGGCUACGAUCAGUAGCUGGUCUGAGAGGAUGAUCAGCACACUGGGACUGAGACAACGGCCAGACUCCUACGGGAGGCAGCAGGUUAGGAAUUCUUUGGGACCAAUUGGGCCGCAAGGCCCCCCUUUUUUGGAUUCCAACCAUGGCCGCGUGAGUGGAUGGAAGGCCUUAGGGGUUGUAAAGCUCUUUCAGCGGGGAAAGAUAAUGACGGUACCCGCAGAAGAAGCCCCGGCUAACUUCGUGCCAGCAGCCGCGGUAAUACGAAGGGGGCUAGCGUUGCUCGGAAUCACUGGGCGGUUAAAGCGCCACGUAAGGCGGUUUUCUAAGUCAGGGGUGAAAUCC